This 543-nucleotide ribosomal RNA is filed under the name uncultured bacterium. Its description in RNAcentral is "bacterial SSU rRNA". It matches the Rfam family "Bacterial small subunit ribosomal RNA", at positions 777 to 1314 of the family's 1533-position model. The record is from RNAcentral.
AAUAGAUACCCGGGUAGUCCACGCCGUAAACGAUGAGUGCUAAGUGUUAGGGGGGUUUCCGCCCCUUAGUGCUGCAGCUAACGCAUUAAGCACUCCGCCUGGGGAGUACGGCCGCAAGGCUGAAACUCAAAGGAAUUGACGGGGGGCCCGCACAAGCGGUGGAGCAUGUGGUUUAAUUCGAAGCAACGCGAAGAACCUUACCAGGUCUUGACAUCCUCUGACAACCCUAGAGAUAGGGCGUUCCCCCUUCGGGGGACAGAGUGACAGGUGGUGCAUGGUUGUCGUCAGCUCGUGUCGUGAGAUGUUGGGUUAAGUCCCGCAACGAGCGCAACCCUUGAUCUUAGUUGCCAGCAUUUAGUUGGGCACUCUAAGGUGACUGCCGGUGACAAACCGGAGGAAGGUGGGGAUGACGUCAAAUCAUCAUGCCCCUUAUGACCUGGGCUACACACGUGCUACAAUGGAUGGUACAAAGGGCUGCCAAACCGCGAGGUUGAGCGAAUCCCAUAAAACCAUUCUCAGUUCGGAUUGCAGGCUGCAACUCCG